CCUAGAGUUGUAGGCUUUGCCUGCUAUCUCUUACCCAUGUCUUUUGAGUACCUUACGUUUCCUCGGUGGGUUCGCCCACCGAUUGGACAAACUAAACCCUUUGCAGUUGAAAUCAGCGUCUGAAAAAAACUUAAUAGUUA
Molecule: unclassified non-coding RNA, 140 nt
Filed under: soil metagenome
Description: partial internal transcribed spacer 1
Source: RNAcentral